Molecule: ribosomal RNA, 224 nt
Filed under: uncultured bacterium
Lineage: Bacteria
Description: partial 16S ribosomal RNA
Rfam family: Bacterial small subunit ribosomal RNA
Source: RNAcentral
CCUAUCACGGGGACGGGGGAGUACCCCUGGGAAACCAGGGCUAAAACCGCGUACGCUCUCUUGUGGGAGUGCAAGAGAGGAGAGGAUGGUGUGAGGAGCACCGUCUGGCCUGUGCGGGGCAUGCGUCCGAUUAGCUAGUUGGAGGGGUAAGAGCCCACCAAGGCGACGAUCGGUCGCUGGUCUGAGAGGAUGAUCAGCCACACUGGGACUGAGAGACGGCCCAG